RNAcentral lists this ribosomal RNA (433 nucleotides) under uncultured bacterium. RNAcentral describes it as "bacterial SSU rRNA". It matches the Rfam family "Bacterial small subunit ribosomal RNA", at positions 29 to 507 of the family's 1533-position model. The record is from RNAcentral.
AGCGAACGCUGGCGGCAGGCCUAACACAUGCAAGUCGAACGAACCCUUCGGGGUUAGUGGCGGACGGGUGAGUAACACGUGGGAACGUGCCUUUAGGUUCGGAAUAACGCAGGGAAACUUGUGCUAAUACCGAAUGUGCCCUUCGGGGGAAAGAUUUAUCGCCUUUAGAGCGGCCCGCGUCUGAUUAGCUAGUUGGUGAGGUAAAGGCUCACCAAGGCUACGAUCAGUAGCUGGUCUGAGAGGAUGACCAGCCACAUUGGGACUGAGACACGGCCCAAACUCCUACGGGAGGCAGCAGUGGGGAAUCUUGCGCAAUGGGCGAAAGCCUGACGCAGCCAUGCCGCGUGGAUGAUGAAGGUCUUAGGAUUGUAAAAUCCUUUCACCGGUGAAGAUAAUGACUGUAGCCGGAGAAGAAGCCCCGGCUAACUUCGUG